RNAcentral lists this ribosomal RNA (800 nucleotides) under uncultured Planctomycetota bacterium. Its description in RNAcentral is "bacterial SSU rRNA". It matches the Rfam family "Bacterial small subunit ribosomal RNA", at positions 69 to 902 of the family's 1533-position model. The record is from RNAcentral. Lineage: Bacteria; Pseudomonadati; Planctomycetota.
AAUCCCCCGCAAGGGGGGGAAGCGGCGGACGGGGCAGGAGUGCGCGGGCGACCUAUCCGGGGGUCGGGCAUAGCCCGUCGAGAGACGGGGUAAUUCCCGAUGACGUCGUAAGACCAAAGGUCCGCCGCCCCCGGCGGGGCCCGCGCGGUAUUAGCUGGUUGGUGGGGUGACGGCCCACCAAGGCGUAGAUGCCUGGCGGGUGUGAGAGCACGACCCGCGCCACUGGCACUGAGACACUGGCCAGACACCUACGGGUGGCUGCAGUCGAGGAUCUUCGGCAAUGCGCGCAAGCGCGACCGAGCGACGCCGCGUGGGCGACGAAGGCCUUCGGGUUGUAAAGCCCUGUCGGGGGGGAGAAAGCCGCAAGGUUGAUCUAUCCCCGGAGGAAGCACGGGCUAAGUUCGUGCCAGCAGCCGCGGUAAGACGAACCGUGCGAACGUUGUUCGGAAUCACUGGGCUUAAAGGGCGCGUAGGCGGGCCGGACGGUCCGCGGUGAAAUCCCCCCGCUCAACGGGGGAACGGCCGCGGAUACCGCCGGCCUCGAGGGGGGUAGGGGCGAGCGGAACGCUGGGUGGAGCGGUGAAAUGCGUUGAUAUCCAGCGGAACUCCGGUGGCGAAGGCGGCUCGCUGGACCCCCACUGACGCUGAGGCGCGAAAGCCAGGGGAGCGAACGGGAUUAGAUACCCCGGUAGUCCUGGCCCUAAACGAUGGGGACUAGGUAGUCGGCCGGCAUGGGCUGACUGCCGGAGCCAAAGUGCUAAGUCCCCCGCCUGGGGAGUAUGGCCGCAAGGCUGAAACUC